RNAcentral lists this non-coding RNA (108 nucleotides) under Bacillus massilinigeriensis. RNAcentral's name for it is "epsC RNA". It matches the Rfam family "epsC RNA". The record is from RNAcentral. Lineage: Bacteria; Bacillati; Bacillota; Bacilli; Caryophanales; Bacillaceae.
GGUGAUGUCUCUUUGCCUAUAUCAAAAGAGGCACUCGACCAUGCUGUGGGUUUUACGACCUUAGACGCAAGUCGUCGAUAGUGUGGUGUGAGGAGGGGUUGAAUGCCC